GUGAAGUUGAUCUAUCAUGACAUCUGCUACUGUCUUGGUUGCCAAGGUUGGGUUGGCUGGGUUGGCUGGUCUGGCAGGUCAAAGGACGUCCCCUUUCUCUUUCGCCCACUUGGGUGAGCCUCUUUGGUCAACCAGGACAAAGAGGUUGACCUUCUCAGCUUGAGGGGCACAGGGCUUCGGUCAACAGUAUUUAGGAGUGGCUGCGCAGCUCUGGCAGAAAAGCUGAAAGAUUUCUCAGCAUUCUUAUCUGCCUGGCCAGGACUUACACAGAAAGACAGAGAUGGAUCUGGGCUUGUCAUUUCCCAGUUU
Molecule: small nuclear RNA, 309 nt
Filed under: Microcebus murinus (gray mouse lemur)
Lineage: Eukaryota; Metazoa; Chordata; Mammalia; Primates; Cheirogaleidae
Description: 7SK RNA (ENSMICG00000025355.3)
Source: RNAcentral